Nitrobacter winogradskyi Nb-255 is the source of this 73-nucleotide transfer RNA. It matches the Rfam family "tRNA". From Rfam's summary of the family: Transfer RNA (tRNA) molecules are approximately 80 nucleotides in length. Their secondary structure includes four short double-helical elements and three loops (D, anti-codon, and T loops). Lineage: Bacteria; Pseudomonadati; Pseudomonadota; Alphaproteobacteria; Hyphomicrobiales; Nitrobacteraceae. The record is from Rfam.
GGGCGAUUAGCUCAGUUGGUAGAGCAGCUGACUCUUAAUCAGCGGGUCGUAGGUUCGAGCCCUACAUCGCCCA